RNAcentral lists this ribosomal RNA (508 nucleotides) under uncultured bacterium. RNAcentral's name for it is "bacterial SSU rRNA". It matches the Rfam family "Bacterial small subunit ribosomal RNA", at positions 43 to 507 of the family's 1533-position model. The record is from RNAcentral.
CGUGCCUAAUACAUGCAAGUCGAGCGGUAAGGCUUUCACAGAUUAUUAACCAGAUAAGUUCUUCGGAAAACUGUCUGCAGCGUUGUUCUCCCGGCUAGGAGAAUAAGGUUGAAUAAUGCGUGAAAGUACACGAGCGGCGGACGGCUGAGUAACACGUAGGAACGUACCCCAAAGUGAGGGAUAAGCACCGGAAACGGUGUCUAAUACCGCAUGUGAUCUUCGGAUUAAAGCUUCGGCGCUUUGGGAACGGCCUGCGCAUGGUUAGCUUGUUGGUGAGGUAAAAGCUCACCAAGGCGACGAUCAUUAGCUGGUCUGAGAGGAUGAUCAGCCAGACUGGGACUGAGAACGGCCCAGACUCCUACGGGAGGCAGCAGUAGGGAAUUUCCACAAUGGACGAAAGUCUGAUGGAGCAACGCCGCGUGCAGGAUGAAGGGUUUCGGCUCGUAAACUGCUUUUAUCUGUGAAGAUUAUGACGGUAGCAGAUGAAUAAGGAUCGGCUAACUCCGUG